CAGUCGAACGAACUUCCGUUAAUUGAUUAUGACGUACUUGUACUGAUUGAGAUUUUAACACGAAGUGAGUGGCGAACGGGUGAGUAACACGUGGGUAACCUGCCCAGAAGUAGGGGAUAACACCUGGAAACAGAUGCUAAUACCGUAUAACAGAGAAAACCGCAUGGUUUUCUUUUAAAAGAUGGCUCUGCUAUCACUUCUGGAUGGACCCGCGGCGUAUUAGCUAGUUGGUGAGGUAAAGGCUCACCAAGGCAGUGAUACGUAGCCGACCUGAGAGGGUAAUCGGCCACAUUGGGACUGAGACACGGCCCAGACUCCUACGGGAGGCAGCAGUAGGGAAUCUUCCACAAUGGACGCAAGUCUGAUGGAGCAACGCCGCGUGAGUGAAGAAGGGUUUCGGCUCGUAAAGCUCUGUUGUUAAAGAAGAACGUGGGUAAGAGUAACUGUUUACCCAGUGACGGUAUUUAACCAGAAAGCCACGGCUAACUACGUGCCAGCAGCCGCGGUAAUACGUAGGUGGCAAGCGUUAUCCGGAUUUAUUGGGCGUAAAGCGAGCGCAGGCGGUCUUUUAAGUCUAAUGUGAAAGCCUUCGGCUCAACCGAAGAAGUGCAUUGGAAACUGGGAGACUUGAGUGCAGAAGAGGACAGUGGAACUCCAUGUGUAGCGGUGAAAUGCGUAGAUAUAUGGAAGAACACCAGUGGCGAAGGCGGCUGUCUGGUCUGCAACUGACGCUGAGGCUCGAAAGCAUGGGUAGCGAACAGGAUUAGAUACCCUGGUAGUCCAUGCCGUAAACGAUGAUUACUAAGUGUUGGAGGGUUUCCGCCCUUCAGUGCUGCAGCUAACGCAUUAAGUAAUCCGCCUGGGGAGUACGACCGCAAGGUUGAAACUCAAAAGAAUUGACGGGGGCCCGCACAAGCGGUGGAGCAUGUGGUUUAAUUCGAAGCUACGCGAAGAACCUUACCAGGUCUUGACAUCUUCUGACAGUCUAAGAGAUUAGAGGUUCCCUUCGGGGACAGAAUGACAGGUGGUGCAUGGUUGUCGUCAGCUCGUGUCGUGAGAUGUUGGGUUAAGUCCCGCAACGAGCGCAACCCUUAUUACUAGUUGCCAGCAUUAAGUUGGGCACUCUAGUGAGACUGCCGGUGACAAACCGGAGGAAGGUGGGGACGACGUCAAAUCAUCAUGCCCCUUAUGACCUGGGCUACACACGUGCUACAAUGGAUGGUACAACGAGUCGCGAGACCGCGAGGUUAAGCUAAUCUCUUAAAACCAUUCUCAGUUCGGACUGUAGGCUGCAACUCGCCUACACGAAGUCGGAAUCGCUAGUAAUCGCGGAUCAGCAUGCCGCGGUGAAUACGUUCCCGGGCCUUGUACACACCGCCCGUCACACCAUGAGAGUUUGUAACACCCAAAGCCGG
RNAcentral lists this ribosomal RNA (1415 nucleotides) under Pediococcus pentosaceus. RNAcentral describes it as "bacterial SSU rRNA". It matches the Rfam family "Bacterial small subunit ribosomal RNA", at positions 59 to 1430 of the family's 1533-position model. Lineage: Bacteria; Bacillati; Bacillota; Bacilli; Lactobacillales; Lactobacillaceae. The record is from RNAcentral.